RNAcentral lists this ribosomal RNA (400 nucleotides) under uncultured bacterium. RNAcentral's name for it is "bacterial SSU rRNA". It matches the Rfam family "Bacterial small subunit ribosomal RNA", at positions 355 to 751 of the family's 1533-position model. The record is from RNAcentral.
UGAGGAAUAUUGGGCAAUGGACGCAAGUCUGACCCAGCCAUGCCGCGUGAAGGAUUGAAGGUCCUAUGGAUUGUAAACUUCUUUUGUAUGGGAAUAAACCCCCCGACGUGUCGGGGGCUGAAUGUACCAUAAGAAUAAGCACCGGCUAACUCCGUGCCAGCAGCCGCGGUAAUACGGAGGGUGCAAGCGUUAUCCGGAUUUAUUGGGUUUAAAGGGUCCGUAGGCGGGCCAUUAAGUCAGUGGUGAAAGCCUACCGCUCAACGGUAGAACUGCCAUUGAUACUGAUGGUCUUGAGUACGAGUGAAGCUGGCGGAAUGUGCAGUGUAGCGGUGAAAUGCUUAGAUAUUGCACAGAACACCAAUUGCGAAGGCAGCUGGCUAACUCGAAACUGACGCUGAGG